GACGAACGCUGGCGGCGUGGAUUAGGCAUGCAAGUCGAACGGUAGGAUACCUUCGGGUAUCUGAGAGUGGCGAACGGGUGAGUAACACGUAGGUGAUCUACCCUCAAGAUUGGGACAACCCAGGGAAACUUGGGCUAAUACCGGAUGAAAGCAGCAGUGAUGUUGUUUGAAAGGUGGCGUAAGCUGCCGUUUGGGGAUGAGCCUGCGCUCUAUUAGUUAGUUGGCGGGGUAAAGGCCCACCAAGGCGAUGAUAGAUAGGCGGCCUUAACGGGUGGUCGCCCACACUGGGAUUUGAGAUACGGCCCAGACUCCUACGGGAGGCAGCAGUCGAGAAUAGGUCUACAAUGGCCAAAGGCUGAUAGUGCGACGCCGCGUGAACGAAGAAGCCCUUGGGGUCGUAAAGUUCUUUUAUAUGUGAGCAGUGCUUUCUAUGUGAACAGCAUGGGGAAGAGAUAUUAGCAUAUGAAUAAGCAACGGCUAACUCCGUGCCAGCA
This 494-nucleotide ribosomal RNA is filed under the name uncultured bacterium. RNAcentral describes it as "bacterial SSU rRNA". It matches the Rfam family "Bacterial small subunit ribosomal RNA", at positions 28 to 513 of the family's 1533-position model. The record is from RNAcentral.